CACGUAGGGGACGAGCGUUGUCCGGAUUCAUUGGGCGUAAAGCGCGCGUAGGCGGCUCGGAAAGUCGGGCGUGAAAUGCCGGGGCUCAACCCCGGGACUGCGUCCGAUACUGGUUGGCUUGAAUUCGGGAGAGGGAUGCGGAAUUCCAGGUGUAGCGGUGAAAUGCGUAGAUAUCUGGAGGAACACCGGUGGCGAAGGCGGCAUCCUGGACCGGUAUUGACGCUGAGGAGCGAAAGCCAGGGGAGCAAACGGG
Molecule: ribosomal RNA, 253 nt
Filed under: uncultured bacterium
Lineage: Bacteria
Description: partial 16S ribosomal RNA
Rfam family: Bacterial small subunit ribosomal RNA
Source: RNAcentral